AUGGGAGCGGAGACGAACAUCUCGCCGCAGCUAGAGCCGGCCAAGUCGCGGGAGACGGAUACUCUACUCAACGACGAUCAGAACUGGAUGACGGUGCUGCAGGAGUCUGUGUCGUUCAGGCGGUUACUGUCCGAGCCACUCGAGUGGGAUACCACGGGGCAUGUCUCGCCAGCAACGAUGGCGCAUGUCCAAUCACUGCCGACAGCUCAGCUCGAUCUGCCAGUACAUGCCGCGGUGUUCGGACGUCAAUCUGUGUCCUCCAACUACUGUGCUGCGCACAUUGGAAGUUCUGAACCAGCCCAGAGUUGUAAUCCAUGCUUGCCCGUGGCUCGUUCAUUAGUAAGUCCAACACAUAUUGGAGGAGCCGAUCUCUAUAUGGUAAGUUCAUCCUCUAAUCUCAUUAAAUAA
Molecule: ribosomal RNA, 408 nt
Filed under: Triticum aestivum (bread wheat)
Lineage: Eukaryota; Viridiplantae; Streptophyta; Magnoliopsida; Poales; Poaceae
Description: partial small subunit ribosomal RNA
Source: RNAcentral